GUUACCAUGGAGAAACUGCUGGGGUCGCAUGGCUGCUCUCAACAGCAGGGAACAGUCCUGUCCUUGGUCACCUGCUGCUGCUUGCCCCCAUCUCUCAGUCCAUGCCUGGCACACUGAGGACCAGUUGUUUCUAUCUGUUGUGACACGGUACAUAGGAAAUUGCCUCCUUGAGGAUGAAGCCCCAGCAAAUGACAGAUUCUCACAAAAUCUGAAGCUACCACACACAGAUGGAAGUGCUCCAGAAGAUUUGCCCCACACAGAAGAAGAAAAAAAUCAUAGAAUUUUUAGAGAAGAUUCUUUUUAUCCUGUUUCUGUUCAGAGAGCUCAUGACACCAAUAUAACAACAAAAACUAUUUUUCUUUUAAUUUUAGAAAGUUUCAUAGGUAGAUUAAAUUUUCUCUGCGGUAUUUUCUCUCCAUUUGAUUUGGUUUAUUUUGGCUAA
Molecule: long non-coding RNA, 442 nt
Filed under: Anser brachyrhynchus (Pink-footed goose)
Lineage: Eukaryota; Metazoa; Chordata; Aves; Anseriformes; Anatidae
Description: lncRNA (ENSABRG00000016960.1)
Source: RNAcentral